Molecule: long non-coding RNA, 2076 nt
Organism: Hippocampus zosterae (dwarf seahorse)
Lineage: Eukaryota; Metazoa; Chordata; Actinopteri; Syngnathiformes; Syngnathidae
Exons: 3
Source: RefSeq, a predicted model, not a curated record
GUAAAUUACGCUGGAGCGGAAGAAGAAGAGGAUGAGUCAGCUGACUACUUAAGGGGUACGGCGCACUCCAUUUGUUUCAGCUCUGUUAACCGAACAGAAAUUCGAGAUACAAGCAAAGAUUUCGAGAUAGGGCUGGAGAAUGAACAGGGCUCUGUUUAUUCCACGCUCGGGAGGAUGUCGGGGACACCGGAUCAACAAAGGCAGCACUGUCGUGUGAGCACAAUGGCAGACGUAUUGAUCGUGACCUGACGUGACAGCGGUAUUGAUCGGCAUUCCCGAGAUGAGCGGUGAGAGACAGGCAGAUCGCCUUCAAUGCUGACAACAUCGCAGCAAAGUGAAAGUCUGUAGACACCCGGUGGUUAAAAUGCGACAAAAUACUGCACUGCAGGCCAAAAUGGGAACCAGGGAAUUCCCUGAUUUCAGUCCCCGUAAUUAUAAAACUCCCUGUGUCUCAGUGGACUCCUUGGGAACGGGGAAAAAAAUACUUUAAUCCACCUUUGCUUCCGUCGCCUUCAUUUUCUCUGUGCUUCAUUUCUUGUUUAAACAUGAAAUGUGCUACAUUUGUUUUUACACUUGUAUGAGUGUAAAAACGGGUUUCAAACCCGUGCCCCGAUUUGAAACCCAACAGCAGCGAUGGACAACUGGCGGCCUGUGUCCACACCUGGAGUGGCCCUCGAUUAAUUUUUGAAAACAAAAAUAGCAGAGCAGUUUUAAAUUGUAUUAACAAUGACCACGAGAUUGAAACCCUGACUUCAAACCCUAUUGUGAAAACCUAACCCUGGAUUCAAAUACCAACCUGGCUUAAAAGUCAACUUUUUGAAACCCUAAGCCUUGCUAGAAAACCAAACCCUACUUUGAAAUGGUAACCUUUGUUAGAAAGCCUACUUAUGGCUUGGGACUGUUUUUAGAAAUUGUAACUCUGAUUUGAAACACUUAAACGUGUUUAAAAUCAUAACACGAAACCCUGAUGCGAAAUCCAAGUAAUGGCUUGAAAUCCUACUCUGAAACCCUAACCCUACUUUGAAACCCUAAUUUUGGUUUCAAACUAACACUGGCUGGAAGUUUUCAUUUGAAACUUUAACCCUGAAUUGAAACACUAAAUUGAAAAGCUUAACCCAAUUGAAACCUUAACUCGAGCUUGGCACUCUAAUUUGAAACCUUCGCCCUCACCAAACCAUUCAUUGAAACCCUAAUUAUGUGAUGAUAGGCAGACAAACUAAGAAAAAGUCUCCCCCACCGGCACACCGUAACUCAAAACUCAAAUUGUCCACUGGCGAAUACUCAAAGAGAAACGAGCUUGACAGAGCACAGCCGGGAUGGGUGCCACAAUAACUCUCACGGAAUUUGCACCUCUUUUAUCUCUCUGGCCCUGUACAUUCACCUUCAUCGGUUACUUCACUCAUAAACUAGCAGAAGGUCCACGUGUCCAUGGACACAUCGCCCAGCAAUAAAAAAAAAGUGCAGUCAGUCAAUAACUUUCUUACUUUUGAUCCAUUCACAGUUUCUAUGGUAGCCAGCGGAAACACACACGCUGAGCAAACAUCCCAUUUCCACAGGAAACAUCUGAUCAAGAAUGUGUGUGUGUGUGUGUCUGAGAGAGAGAGACAGAGACCGAGAGAGAGCGAGAGAAAAAACAAAAAACGUCCACUCAGUACUGUCAGUCACCAAAGUAUUUAAAAAAACAACGUAUUAGACACUAGAAAGUGAUGUUAAUAUUUGUUUCUCCAACAAAUAUUCAUGGGUCAAUAUGACAACAUUUUACAUUUUACAUUUCAUUUUAAAAAAAUCCCCUGAACUAGUUGCCAGCCACUCGCAGGACACAUAUAGACAAAUAACCAUUCACUCUCACAAUUAUACCUAGGGACUACUGUGUUACAUUAACCUACUAUGCAUGUUUUUGGAAUGUGGGAGGAAAUUGGAGUACCCGGAGAAAACCCACACAGGCAUGGGGAGAACAUCCAAACUCCACAAAGGAAAGCCAGGACCUGCCUGGAAUCGAACCCAUGACUUCUGUGCUGCGAGGCAGACGUCCUAACCAGUCGGUCAUCUAUCUAUCUAUCUAUCUAUCUAUCUAUC